GGAAGUGAAUUUCUUAUCGAAUGGGUUUUUCAACCGAGUGACGAAUAGCUACGCGAAUAAUUAGUUUCAUUUUGUAGCAUUUCUGCGAAGAAAUAUGUACAUUAAUGUGAAUUCAGAGAUAAACUUAGAGAAUUUUCUUCAGUAAGUUCUUUACUUACAUCAGUCUUUCUCUGUACUUUGACGAAUAAACUGUGGUGACAAUAAGGCGAGGAAAUUUAAUUUGUGAGAAAUGUGCUAUAUGAGGAAUAUAAUUAUUCUUCUGUGCGUAUCUGCUGGUGCUUUGGGGCAAGACAUUGAAGAAACAAAUAUCCACUGCCAUGAUUUGGAGCGAUAUACACCAAUAAGGUACAAGUGCGAUGACGUGAUAUAUUGGUUUGAUCGAAAAAAGUUUGAAAAUCAUGAAUUUAGAGGACAAAACUGCCAUUCGUUGGACCUAAGUCACAACAAAUUGAAAGAAAUUAACACAAGCGAAUUUAAAUAUAAGACAUAUUCAGUGCUCAGUUUGGAGUUAAAUGAGUUAAAAUUUUUAGACGUCAGCUUUUUAAAUGUAACAUACUUUGAUGUUUUCAAUAACUCAAUUGAAAGUCUCGCAAUGGAAGGUUCUUGUCUGAAGUUAAAUGCUCAAAACAAUUUAAUUUCUGAUCUUAAUCUUGGAACUUCUGUUUUGUCACUUCAGGAGAUUAAUUUGAGUCACAAUAAAUUGGGAAAUCUUCAGGAUAUUUGCAAAUGUUUAAAUUUAAUUGAAUUAAAUUUAGACGACAAUUUAAUUGACAAUAUUGGUUCGUGCUUCUACCAACUGACAAAAUUGAAGAAAUUAAGUUUGCAGAGAAAUCGCAUUCAUAAGUUAUAUCACAAUGAUUUUAAUGCAGAGAAUAGUAUAAGACACCUUAAUUUGGCUUUUAACAAAUUGGUAACAUUUGAUGAGUAUGAAAUGUUCAUUUUCAGGAACAUCAGAUACUUAAAUUUGAAUGGAAAUAUGAUUUAUAAUAUAUCUCACAAUAUAUAUUCUAGGAUGAUGUCUUUACGCGAGAUCGGAUUGUCUUACAACAAAUUUCAAUGCAUCGAUCUAUAUAAGUUGCUAAAUAAUAUCCCAAAAAAUACAAAUUACUUAUUUAUCGACAAAAAAUUGUCAAUGAAGACACUGAAUAUUUAUGGAAUUCACUGCUACAUGAAUCUAAAAGAAUUGUCAAGAUAUAGACUAAAAGAUACAUUAGAAAAUCUAAAAACCGUUUCAAUAAGACAUACUUCACUAAACCGCAUUCUUAUAAUUAAAUGUUGUGGAAUGGCACUGGAUGUUACAACCUGUACCCACUUCUUUGACUCACUUCAUAAGUUUAAAAUUAAUUGUAAAAAUUCAACGUAUCUGGACUUAUCGUCUAACAUUAUUUCUUCAUAUGAUGUAAAUGCUUUUCACAGUUUCUCAAUACUAAAAGGAUUGAAUUUAUCUCACAAUAAUAUUUCAAGUUUAACAAAACCCCUAUUCAAACCUGGUCAAUAUAUUAAAGAAUUAGAUUUGUCAAAUAAUAAAAUUACAAAUAUAUCCGAAGAAGUUCUAAAAGAAGUUAACAUUAAAAAAAUUAUACUUCGCUCAAAUUUCCUUGAGACCUUUGAUACAAAUCUGUUUAAUAUACAGGAAUGUGAAUUGUUGGACUUAAGUUACAACAAAUUGAAAAAUUUUAGUUUUGAGAGUUUCUUGAAGAAAAACUUAACGCUAAAUUUGCAAUUCAACGAAUUGACGUAUUUACACGUAAACAAUUUAAAUAUAACAUUUCUUGAUGCUUCCAAUAACAAAAUUAAAAGCGUCGUUUUGGAUGGUUUUUGCCAGAAAUUUCACGCUCAAAAUAAUUUAAUUUCUGAAAUUUCUCUCGGCACUACUUUUUCAUCGCUUCUGGAGAUAAAUUUGAGUAAUAAUAAAUUGAAAAAUAAUAUUCAGGACAUUUGCAAAUGUUUAAAUUUAAUUGAAUUAAAUUUAGACGAAAAUAUGAUUGACAAUAUUGGUACAUGCUUCUAUCAAAUGACAAAAUUAGAGAAAUUAAGUUUACAAAGAAAUCACAUUCAUCAAUUCUAUCACGAUGAAUUUAGUGAAAUGAAUAGCAUUCAACACCUUAAUUUGGCUUUUAACAAAUUGGUAACAUUUGAUGAGUAUGAAAUGUUCAUUUUCAGAAGCAUCAGAUACUUAAACUUGAAUGGGAACAUGAUUGACAAUAUAUCUAACAAUAUAUAUUCCUCGAUGUUUGCUUUACGCGAAAUUGAAUUGUCUUACAAUAAAUUUAAAUGCAUCGAUCUGUAUAAGUUUUUUGACAUAAUCCCAAGAAAUAAAAAUUACAUAUUCAUUGAAAAAAUAACGCCAAUGAUAGGUCCGAAUAUUAAUGGAAUUGAUUGUAUACCAUAUUUUGAAAAGAAAUGCCAAGAUAUAGAUAAAAAAAUAUAUUUAAAAAACAAUUCAAUAAUAGUUUUAGGUCAUGACUACAAACAUAACAAAUCAUCCAGAAAUUCGUCUUCUUUUUAUGAGAUUUUCCAGGAGAGGAAUAACUAUGACCAAAGAUGAACCAUGAAACCAAAAUGUGAAAUCUUUUUAUGGAAUCUUUAAAUACGAACGCAAGUUAGAACGCAAAAAUGUAAGGAUGAGUGUAGUAUAACGCACGAAUAAACGUAAGAAAUUGCACCAUGAACGCAAUAGUUACAUACCCCUGGGUCAGAUCUGAAAAAAAGGAUGACUUUUAAAAUUGAGAAGGAUACAGCAUAAACGAAAAAAUCUAGACAAAAUAUUUUUCAAUCACAAAAUAUUUGGGAUUUUGUAGAUAAAACUAUGUGAAAUACCUCAGCUCCCACCAAAAAAGCUUAUGUGAAAUAAAUAAUUCUAGAAAAAAAAAUGUUAUUUGUAAUUUCUCUGAAAAACAUUCAGCCCUAAUCUUUUGCAGUUUCUUCUAAAGAAGUGUAUUCUUAUCAAGUCAGCAGCUCCACUCAAAUGACGAAUAUCGAGCUCUAAGUCUUGAUAUAAACAGCUUUGUGUGUUUUAUCGAAGAAAUGUGCACAAAAAUGUGUAUUCAGCGAUAAGUUUAAAGAAUUUACUUCCACGAGUAGAGAAAUAUUUAGUCAACAAUGUCAGUCUUUCUCUUAACUUUGACGAAAACACUUCAGUAACCAUCAGAAAGGAAAAUUAAUUUGUGAAAAAUGUGGCAUUUGAGGAAUGUGAUUAUUCUUCUGUGUUUUUCUGUGAGUGUUUUGGGACUUGAGAAAAUUAAUGUCCACUGUCAUGACUGGCAAAGAUUAAGAGAUGUAUAUAAAGGGAAUAGAUAUCAGACAGAGUACAAGUGCUCAAUAGUAAACUUCGAACUCCCAAAUGAUCGAGAAUAUUAUUUUGAUCGACAAGUAAUGAUAACUUCUUUGGAAAUUAAGGACUCAACGAUAAGCAACAUUCCAGGAGCAUUGCUAAAAAUCUUACCGGACUUAGAAACGUUUUUGGUGACAAAGACAACGUUAAAGAAUGUUAAUCAAAUUAAUUGCGAAGAAUUGAAGGAAUUGGACUUAUCAUCAAAUGCAAUUAUAUCUUUUGAUGAAAAUGCUUUCUACAAUUGCCAAAAUUUAAAAGCACUGAAUUUAUCUCACAAUGCUAUUCCAAGUUUAACAAAACCUCUCUUCAAGCCAGGUAAACAUAUCAAAAAACUGGAUUUGUCAAAUAAUAAAAUUACAGAAUUAUCCGGAGAUGUUCUAAAAGAAGUGGAGAUUGAAAAAUUAAUACUUCACUCAAAUCUCCUUGAAAAUUUCAAUAUGAAUCAAUUUAACGGACAAAGCUGUGAAUUGUUGAACAUUAGCUACAACAAUUUGAAAAGUUUCAACGUCUCUGGGGAUAUUUUGAAGAAAAAUCUAACGCUAAGUCUGCAAUUCAACAAACUAACGAAAUUAGACGUGAAAAACUUGAAUGUAAAAUUUCUCGAUGUUUUUAACAACAAAAUUGAAAGUCUCGCAAUGGAAGGUUCUUGUCAGAAGUUAAAUGCUCAAAAUAAUUUAAUUUCUGAUCUUACUCUUGGAACUUCUGUUUUGUCACUUCAGGAGAUUAAUUUGAGCCACAAUAAAUUGGGAAAUCUUCAGGAUAUUUGCAAAUGUACAAAUUUAAUUGAAUUAAAUUUAGACGACAACUUAAUUGACAAUAUUGGUUCGUGCUUCUACCAACUGACAAAAUUGAAGAAAUUAAGCUUGCGUAAAAACUACAUUUAUCACCUCUUUCACGAUGAAUUUAAUGAGAGGAAUAUUAUACAGCACCUGAAUUUGGCAUUCAAUCGUUUGGAAGCCUUUGAUGAAUCUGUAAUGUCAGUUUUUAAAAAUCUCCAAUACUUGGACUUGAGUGGAAAUCAAAUUUCUGAUAUAUCUGACAAUCUAAAUACCUGGAUGUCGAAUUUAAAUCAAAUUGGACUCUCUCAUAAUAAAUUUAAAUGCUCAAGACUAUUUAUGUUGAUGAAUAAAAUUAAAAGAAAUGGAAGACUAAAUAUAUUUAUUGAUAAAACUUUGCCAGUUAAUGCAACGAAUAUUGAUGGAAUUCAGUGCUAUCGCUACAGCGAAGGAGAACUGUUGAGAGAUUCAAAUGGUUCGGAUGUUGCUAGAGCAAAACUUGAUGAAAAAUUCACAUUCUUGUCACAAAAACUUAACAAUUUGGAAAGAAAAUUCAAUGAUUUCAAAGAUUUUAACGAAACAAUCCAAGAGUUGAGAAAUUCAAUAAAUCAAGCAGUGAAAAAUAAAGAUAUUUCAAACUCAAACAAUAAUCUAACUGCAAUUAUUGAAAAUCUAUCAGAAUCAAUAGAAAAGAAUUCAAAUUCAACCGACAAAAAGUUUGAAUAUUUGGAAAAUAUUGUCAAGAAUCAUUCAGAAAUGUUGGGUCGUUCUAUGAGUGAAAAUUAUCAUUCUAAUGAUAGAAUUAAUGAUGAAUUAUUAACAAACCCAAAAUACAUUUUGCAAUCUGAUAACUCAACUAAUGCUGCAAAUUAUAUAAUUAUUUUCUUACUGGCUGUUAUAGUUUUUAUUAAUUUGUUCGUCAUUCUCAAAAGAUUUGAUACAUUCGGUUUUCGCCGGAGAAAUGAAAGGGAAAAUGAAAGUGCUCUCACAAAUUUCUCAACAAUGUAAAACAAGAAAAGAAUUUUAAAUAGGUAUGUUCUAUACUAUGUUUUAUGCUAGAAGGUAAAAUUAAAAAGGAAAAACGAUUUUUUUUAGAUAGACCAUUGUACAUUAUUUUAGUGGAUGUAUUUUACUUUAAUAAUUUUAUUACGAUAAAAUAAAGAAGCUUUGUAUAAAAUAAAUAUAAAUCUUUAUGUGGUGUA
Molecule: RNA transcript, 5312 nt
Organism: Lutzomyia longipalpis
Lineage: Eukaryota; Metazoa; Arthropoda; Insecta; Diptera; Psychodidae
Gene name: toll-like receptor 3
Exons: 3
Source: RefSeq, a predicted model, not a curated record